UGGGGAAUCUUGCGCAAUGGGCGACAGCCUGACGCAGCAACGCCGCGUGAGGGAAGAAGGCUUUCGGGUCGUAAACCUCUUUCAGGAGGGACGAAGCUUCGGGAGUGAAUAGCUCUCCGGAGUGACGGUACUUCCACAAGAAGCCCCGGCUAACUACGUGCCAGCAGCCGCGGUAAUACGUAGGGGGCUAGCGUUGUCCGGAAUCAUUGGGCGUAAAGAGCGCGUAGGCGGCCAGAUAAGUCCGGUGUGAAAGUCACAGGCUCAACCUGUGAAUGCCGCUGGAAACUGUCUGGCUAGAGUCCGGGAGGGGCGAGUGGAAUUCCUGGUGUAGCGGUGAAAUGCGCAGAUAUCAGGAGGAACACCAAUGGCGAAGGCAGCUCGCUGGAACGGUACUGACGCUGAGGCGCGAAAGCGUGGGGAGCAAACAG
RNAcentral lists this ribosomal RNA (428 nucleotides) under uncultured bacterium. Its description in RNAcentral is "bacterial SSU rRNA". It matches the Rfam family "Bacterial small subunit ribosomal RNA", at positions 355 to 775 of the family's 1533-position model. The record is from RNAcentral.